Molecule: ribosomal RNA, 253 nt
Filed under: uncultured prokaryote
Description: partial 16S ribosomal RNA
Rfam family: Bacterial small subunit ribosomal RNA
Source: RNAcentral
UACGGAGGGUGCAAGCGUUAUCCGGAUUUACUGGGUUUAAAGGGUGCGUAGGCGGAUAAGUAAGUCAGUGGUGAAAUCUCCGGGCUUAACCCGGAAACUGCCGUUGAUACUAUUUGUCUUGAAUAUUGUGGAGGUAAGCGGAAUAUGUCAUGUAGCGGUGAAAUGCUUAGAUAUGACAUAGAACACCAAUUGCGAAGGCAGCUUACUACACAAUCAUUGACGCUGAGGCACGAAAGCGUGGGGAUCAAACAGG